UACGUAGGGUGCAAGCGUUGUCCGGAAUUACUGGGCGUAAAGAGCUCGUAGGUGGUUUGUCGCGUUGUCCGUGAAAACUCACAACUCAAUUGUGGGCGUGCGGGCGAUACGGGCAGACUGGAGUACUGCAGGGGAGACUGGAAUUCCUGGUGUAGCGGUGGAAUGCGCAGAUAUCAGGAGAAACACCGGUGGCGAAGGCGGGUCUCUGGGCCGAUACUGACGCUGAGGAGCGGAAGCGUGGGGAGCGAACAGG
This 253-nucleotide ribosomal RNA is filed under the name uncultured bacterium. RNAcentral's name for it is "partial 16S ribosomal RNA". It matches the Rfam family "Bacterial small subunit ribosomal RNA", at positions 524 to 776 of the family's 1533-position model. The record is from RNAcentral.